GGACCUCUAGCUCAAUUGGUUAGAGCAUCCGGCUCAUAACCGGGCGGUUCAGGGUUCAAGUCCCUGGAGGUCCACCA
This 77-nucleotide transfer RNA is filed under the name Caudoviricetes sp. RNAcentral's name for it is "tRNA-Met". It matches the Rfam family "tRNA". From Rfam's summary of the family: Transfer RNA (tRNA) molecules are approximately 80 nucleotides in length. Their secondary structure includes four short double-helical elements and three loops (D, anti-codon, and T loops). The record is from RNAcentral. Lineage: Duplodnaviria; Heunggongvirae; Uroviricota; Caudoviricetes.